CAGUCGCCACGGGAAUACGUAGGUGGCAAGCGUUGUCCGGAAUUAUUGGGCGUAAAGGGCUCGCAGGCGGUUUCUUAAGUCUGAUGUGAAAGCCCCCGACUCAACCGGGGAGGGUCAUUGGAAACUGGGAAACUUGAGUGCAGAAGAGGAGAGUGGAAUUCCACGUGUAGCGGUGAAAUGCGUAGAGAUGUGGAGGAACACCAGUGGCGAAGGCGACUCUCUGGUCUGUAACUGACGCUGAGGAGCGAAAGCGUGGGGAGCGAACAGGAUUAGAUACCCGCGUAGUCCCUGUCUCUUAUAC
This 301-nucleotide ribosomal RNA is filed under the name uncultured bacterium. Its description in RNAcentral is "partial 16S ribosomal RNA". It matches the Rfam family "Bacterial small subunit ribosomal RNA", at positions 509 to 807 of the family's 1533-position model. The record is from RNAcentral.